Molecule: long non-coding RNA, 1090 nt
Organism: Myxocyprinus asiaticus (Chinese sucker)
Lineage: Eukaryota; Metazoa; Chordata; Actinopteri; Cypriniformes; Catostomidae
Exons: 3
Source: RefSeq, a predicted model, not a curated record
AGGAAGCGAGGCCAUACUUCCAUUCUUGAUCAUCCGUCCUUCAGUUCAAUGCGACUGUGUACGCUGUAAACAUGUUAAGUGGAGUCACAGGCAGACGUUUAGUUGACAGGAUCCUCUUUGCACCGUGAACUGUAAAGAGCAUUUCAGAGGAUGAUCAGUGCAACAUUAUCGAUUGAACAUCGAUGAUUUUAUUAUAUUAUCAGACUGAAUCAGGAUCACUAAUGGUUGCAGUUGAGUGCUUCAGUGACUAACGGGUCAUAAGGUGGAUUUCAAAAGCCAUGAAGACUGAAUUUCCUGGUUUGUAUGUGUAUUACUCAUGCCUUGUUCACUGUAAUGACAUUGGACCAAAUUCCUGAAACUCUAUCAAAAAAAAAAAAGCUAGUUCUUCAGAAAGGCAUGAUUGCAUGCCGAAGUGUCUACAACUUGAGAAAUUUGAGUCAAAUCAAAUGUAGCUUUAAUUUCUGGGUGUUUUGUUGAUUGAGAUUGAAUGUACAUUGAUGUAAGCAUUUUGAAUAAAAUGGUGUGGCUAGAGCAUGCAAGUGUUGGUGAAAUAAACAAUAAAAGGAGUAGUUUGGAUGUUUGUGUCUUCCACUUUUUUUUUUUUUUUUAAUGUUACAUGUAUCAGCACUGUCUUUGAACCUGUGAAGCCCCUUCCAUGGCUCAAUGGGCCAAGCAACAGUGCAAAAGUAAAGGCUUGUUAUAACUGGAGCCUCUUGGAUUUCCCUCCAAGUUGCUCUUUUAAAAGCAAACUACAAUUUCUUCUGAAUUACCAUUUCACAAUCUGUGCAGGUGCAGACUGGUUUGGAAUUAAUAUCUAGCCCAAGAAUUAUUUUGCAAAAGCUGUUUAUCAAUCUCCACAAUUCAACAUUUUCACAAGGAGCAAAUGAAAUAGCAAUUAGCAGAAAGUACACAGAAGAUCAAUUAUGUAUGGCAAUAUUGAAAAAUAAAUGGUAAUACAAAAACAUUUUGCAGCUAAAGUAAAACAAAUACACAUGUACCAGAGGACACCUUGGCAACAGACCACAUUAUGUGUGUACACUUCAUAAUUUCAGACCUGCAAUUUAAAAUAUAUGUUGGAUGACAUUUCAAA